UGCCAGCCGCCGCGGUAAUACGGAGGGUGCUAGCGUUGUUCGGAAUUACUGGGCGUAAAGAGCAUGUAGGCGGAUGAAUUAGUCAGAGGUGAAAGCCCCGAGCUCAACUUGGGAACUGCCUUUGAUACUGUUUAUCUAGAGUCCGAGAGAGGUUAGUGGAAUUCCCAGUGUAGAGGUGAAAUUCGUAGAUAUUGGGAAAAACACCAGUGGCGAAGGCGGCUAACUGGCUCGGUACUGACGCUCAGACACGAAGGCUAGGGUAGCGAAAGGGAUUAGAUA
RNAcentral lists this ribosomal RNA (279 nucleotides) under uncultured bacterium. RNAcentral's name for it is "partial 16S ribosomal RNA". It matches the Rfam family "Bacterial small subunit ribosomal RNA", at positions 506 to 784 of the family's 1533-position model. The record is from RNAcentral.